RNAcentral lists this ribosomal RNA (497 nucleotides) under uncultured bacterium. RNAcentral describes it as "partial 16S ribosomal RNA". It matches the Rfam family "Bacterial small subunit ribosomal RNA", at positions 28 to 507 of the family's 1533-position model. The record is from RNAcentral.
GAUGAACGCUGGCGGCGUGCCUAAUACAUGCAAGUCGAGCGAACAGACGAGGAGCUUGCUCCUCUGACGUUAGCGGCGGACGGGUGAGUAACACGUGGAUAACCUACCUAUAAGACUGGGAUAACUUCGGGAAACCGGAGCUAAUACCGGAUAAUAUAUUGAACCGCAUGGUUCAAUAGUGAAAGACGGUUUUGCUGUCACUUAUAGAUGGAUCCGCGCCGCAUUAGCUAGUUGGUAAGGUAACGGCUUACCAAGGCGACGAUGCGUAGCCGACCUGAGAGGGUGAUCGGCCACACUGGAACUGAGACACGGUCCAGACUCCUACGGGAGGCAGCAGUAGUGAAUCUUCCGCAAUGGGCGAAAGCCUGACGGAGCAACGCCGCGUGAGUGAUGAAGGUCUUCGGAUCGUAAAACUCUGUUAUUAGGGAAGAACAAAUGUGUAAGUAACUAUGCACGUCUUGACGGUACCUAAUCAGAAAGCCACGGCUAACUACGUG